CUAUCUGCCGUGGGUGUUUGAAUCUUGAGAGGAGCUGUCCCUAGUACGAGAGGACCGGGAUGGACGCACCUCUGGUGUACCGGUUGUCACGCCAGUGGCACCGCCGGGUAGCUAAGUGCGGAAGGGAUAACUGCUGAAAGCAUCUAAGCGGGAAGCCCACCUCAAAACUAGGAUUCUUUGAGAACCGUGGGAGACGACCACGUUGAUAGGCUAGGUGUGUAAGCGUAGUAAUACGUUCAGCUAACUAGUACUAAUAGUUCGAAUCGCUUGAUCAAC
RNAcentral lists this ribosomal RNA (276 nucleotides) under Alphaproteobacteria bacterium TMED54. RNAcentral describes it as "partial 23S ribosomal RNA". It matches the Rfam family "Bacterial large subunit ribosomal RNA", at positions 2638 to 2925 of the family's 2925-position model. Lineage: Bacteria; Pseudomonadati; Pseudomonadota; Alphaproteobacteria. RNAcentral also lists the same sequence under 1 other name. The record is from RNAcentral.